Molecule: transfer RNA, 115 nt
Filed under: Daphnia magna
Lineage: Eukaryota; Metazoa; Arthropoda; Branchiopoda; Diplostraca; Daphniidae
Rfam family: tRNA
About the family: Transfer RNA (tRNA) molecules are approximately 80 nucleotides in length. Their secondary structure includes four short double-helical elements and three loops (D, anti-codon, and T loops).
Source: Rfam by way of RNAcentral
GUCAGGAUGGCCGAGCGGUCUAAGGCGCCAGACUUAAGGAUAUAAAUCUUACUUCACAAAAGCAUCUGAAUUCUGGUCUUCAAUGAAGGCGUGGGUUCAAAUCCCACUCCUGACA